Molecule: non-coding RNA, 74 nt
Organism: Candidatus Margulisbacteria bacterium GWE2_39_32
Lineage: Bacteria; Bacillati; Candidatus Margulisiibacteriota
Source: Rfam
GUGCCUGUAGCUCAGUAGGAUAGAGCAACGGACUUCGAAUCCGUGUGUCGGAGGUUCGAUUCCUCUCAGGCACG